Molecule: long non-coding RNA, 1908 nt
Organism: Anopheles merus
Lineage: Eukaryota; Metazoa; Arthropoda; Insecta; Diptera; Culicidae
Exons: 3
Source: RefSeq, a predicted model, not a curated record
AUGUUCAUUUUGUACCAUGAAUUUAAUGUUCUUGAACUCAAAUUAUCUGGCCAGUGCUGGCCUGGUGAUCUGUUCGAGUUUCCGAAGGUUUCGAGCCCCAAUAAACAAUUUUAAGCUACUUUACAACAUUUUACAACUCAAGAUACAUGUUUUUCCAUUUGUGCGAGCAAUGGAAAAUUCUUCAACCUGCUACCCCUCUUGCGAAGCAAUCUUCUCGAAACUCUCCUCUCUCCCGCACAAGACACCGUAAGACAGGAUCAGAAAUAAUGGGCUCACCGUGGUACACCCGAUUAUACUCAGCGUUCAUAACUCAGGUGUAGGAAACAGGAAACAGAUGCGUCACUACUCCGGGCACAGUGUUUACUUUAGAACAAUGCUUCCGCUUCAGAUGGGCUGUGUUGUUGUUGACUUUGGUGUUGUUGCGAAAGUUCGUACAAUGUUCGCCGUCGGCUAUCCCGGACUGUGUGAGAACAGGGAUAUCAUCAUCAUCAUCAUCAUCAGGAAGAAAAUGAAAUAUUAAACCAGCGGCACUGCACUACAGGGAUGUGUGCAUGAAAGUAACGCUCCAGGUACAGUACUGUGUUGGAAAGAAUGUAGUUUGGAUUCCGUCCAGGAUGUUCAGUCAAACAAACUAUUUAACCAGCAAUCGACGGUUUGAUGAACAACUGCCAUAUUCAAGUAUUUCCUCAGAAGCUUACUCUCUUUUUGCUCUGUCAUCUUCAUCCGAUGAACUGUUAAACUUGCUAAGAGCUAUUCCUUAUCCCUGCGAUUAUCUUCUUACCGAGGCCGGCCUAUCACCUUCACGGACAACUACACUGUGUCCUCCGAACGCAUUAAACCGACCAAGACGUCCAAAACAUCCAUUUCUGGGUGAUAAAACUGGUCAAACUGUCCAACGAAACCCACACACACAUGUACACACACGCACAAAUAAACGUUUGUUUGGGAAAAGUGAUCACACACGCUAAGGAAGGGAUGCCCAAUCAGCAACAAAGUCAAAUAUAUCCAACCGUACGUGACCUGUGUGUAGCCGAAAGGCACCGGCAGCAGCCACCGAAAGGAUAAUCACACGACCGAGCAGCCGAGGCACGCAAUUUCCCACCCACUCCCACAUAUUGCCCAUCCCUCCCUAGAACCGAUGCUUCUCCGUAAGGGCAGUGUUGGGAAGCGCGCGUGCACACAAUGACGAAUGAUUUUGCUGAUCAAUUAAGGUUUUCCCAUGCAUCAGCAAUUCUCGGAAGCGGCGCGGGGCGAUAUUUUUAUGCCUGCCAAAUGCUAACCCGUAAACAGCAGACACAACCAAGGGCAAAAGAUUAAGGGAAAAUUGUAUUUACCGCUCAGAUAAAAGCUCUCGGUAAACAGUCUGCUCCACCAAAGACUGUAACUGUCGGUGUGGGUGAAAGACUUCAAGGGCAAUGAUUUUCUUAAAUUAUGCAAAUGAUGUGUGCGUCACCGUACACAAAAACCGCACCGUGGAGCGUAAUCCAUCUUGACAAAUCGAGCAAUUUAACAAACAGCAAACGCUUGAGUCUCCUACUGUCAGAGGCUACUCCGCACAAGAGACGACACUUCAAACGACACACAGUCGCCGCGCACGGUUGGAAAUCGAACCGAACCGCAACUCGACCGUGUAAUCAGCGAGUGUCUACUUCAAACUUCAAUAUUAAUAUCCUUCUUCGCCGGCUCCAAAACCCCAAACCAACCAUCCUUCCAUCAUUCGCCGAAACUUCUUCCCCCAAAGCCAGACGAAUAAUCCUCUGUUUGUGGGGCAUAAAUUUUGCACACAAUCGCCAGGCGGCAAAACCCAUGAAGUCGUCAACCUUCACCAACGUACGCGCGGUGUGGGGCGCGCGCGCGCUGGAGAAGAUGUUAAGCUGUUGUCAGCUAAAUUAUGUUUGCCAUAUCUGU